Bison bison bison is the source of this 98-nucleotide small nuclear RNA. Lineage: Eukaryota; Metazoa; Chordata; Mammalia; Artiodactyla; Bovidae. The record is from Ensembl.
AUACUAACUUCAUCAGCACAUAUAGUAAAAUCAGAAUGAUACACAGAAGAUUAGCAUGAGCCCUGCACAAAGAUGACAAGCAAAAUAAUAAAGUAUUU